RNAcentral lists this long non-coding RNA (1650 nucleotides) under Chlamydomonas reinhardtii. RNAcentral's name for it is "long non-coding RNA (CREI_LNC001445)". The record is from RNAcentral. Lineage: Eukaryota; Viridiplantae; Chlorophyta; Chlorophyceae; Chlamydomonadales; Chlamydomonadaceae.
AUCCAUCCCUCUAAGGGUUCAUAUGGGUGCGAGUAUAGAGUUUCUGUCGCAUCCGGCUGCACUGUUCUGGUGGCCACAGCCUGUGCCGCUUCAUCCGCUUUCUGAUUUCCUACGCAUGUGUCUGUCUGGUGCGAACGUACGUGAUAAAAUGAUGUCUUGUGUCCAGCUAGGGCACGUUCCGCAAGUUGGUCGACUAUGGUCCCAAACAUCUCGCGGUGCUUGCUUACGUGGAGUGACUCGGGCUCCAUAAUGGCGCGACGGAGGAUGAACAGACUGACAAGACUGUCGGUGUAGACCCGCAGGUGAGGUGUGUCGCGAUGGAGGCGGAGCGCCGUGCGUAUGGCGGAUGAUUCACACCGAAGGAUGGUGCUCAGGGGUGUGUUGAAGGCGAUGUCUUCAUCAAUGUGCGUGGCGCGGUUGUCGCUGGCGUCCCAGACCGCCGCUCCCAGGCCCGUGUACUCUCGUGUGUGUGGUACUUUGCUCCCGUCGGUAAAGACCGCGGAGCCUCGUGUGUGUGCGAGCGGGACAUAAGCGCGGUAGAGGGUUGCAAGCUCCGUAGGGGAUGGUAGAGUGGGGGCAUCGCGAGGGGGCUGGGGCUGGGGCGUCUGGCUGCUCUGGGCGAGGAUGCGCCGUUUUAACUUCCGGGGGGUUGGGGGCCACGGGUUGGGUGUGUCUGGGUCCGUGGGGGGUUUACGGGUAGCUAGGUGCGGGGUGUGCCCGAGCGCGUCCGCUAGGGCGAGUGCAAGCCCACUCUCCAGGGCCUGAUUGAGGAGGAGGCGGCCCCUUUCGUUUGUCACGCACAGGAGGUGGAGUCCACGUCGGUGAGCGGGGAGCUCCUGCGGCUGGCCUAGGCCUAGGCCUGCCCAGGCGUGCGCCGGUUUGAUGUGCCCCAGGUCGUGGACCAGUGGGUGCUGGAGCCAGGCUGUGUAGCCGCUGGUGUCGCCAUACGGGACCACCACGACGGACAGGUGCGGUGUGUGCGGUGUUGCCGCCUCGGCGCUGGCGACCGCCCACGCCAUGGCCAGGCUGGUGUGCUCGGGUUGUGGGGGUGGGUGAACGAAGGAGAUUCCAUCUAGCGUGCGGCUGUAGCAGUCGUGGGCGGCCCCGAACUCGGAAUCUUGCGGGUGGGUAGUGUAGUAUGCUGGGAUGUCGCAGUGGGCGUUGAGGGGAGAUGCGAAUGCCUCCGUCUGGAACUUGAUAUGGGACGUGAGCGUGGACAUCAGGUCGGGGCAGAGGGUUACCUCGUGCGCUGGGUUGGUGGAACUCUCCUUGUGGCGUUUGCUGGGGCGGUACCGUAUAAUCAGGGAGGCCAGAGCGGCAGCAAACCUUUCCGGGGGGUGAGUGGGGUUAAGGGUCCUGUACCGGGCGUGGAGUAGGGCAAGUCGGGCAGCGCUAACGGUUCCUAUGCAGCGUCCGUCCGGGCCGUAGACCCUGGCGGGGGGGUCGGGGUCUUGGGGGAGGCCGGACGGCGUGCCUGUGGCGCUGCCCGGCUCACGUGUGCCCAUUUGAAUACAGUAUUGACCUGUCGGGUGGAUGUCUGUGUCCGGGUUACAGGAUUUGACGUCGAUGGUGCUGCACCGGAGGAUCGCACGUUUGCGUGCGGCUUCGCUGGGUGCUGGGUCUCGCCAUCUGCCCUGGCGCUGCUUACUG